UCAAGCAACUCGAUUUGGACAGCAAUUGAAUUUGCUUUGCUGGAUGCAAGAUUCCAAUCAUUCUCAGAUAGCCUGUAUUCGUUGGACAAACGAAGAAGAGCCCUGUAAUGUUCCACAGUUUCCUUCUUCCCCUUCUUGAAACCUUCGGCGGCAUCACAUCCGUAAACCUCCUCUAUGGGACGCUUCAUCAUCUUCUUUGAACUUCCUUCCAUUGAAACUUUGUCCUGCAACAAAAUCGAAACUAAGAUGUUACGAUAAAAUAGAAAUAGAAAAAAGUUCAUGAAUUGAAUGGAAAAUGAGAAAAAUCGAAAACUAACUUGUAUUGCAAAAGGAUAUAUCAAGCGAAAUGAAGUGAGUGAAUAAAAGGUCUGAUAUCGUCCCUUAUAUUUAUAGAACAAAAAGGAACUCUUCGAUUAUUGAAGUCAGUUAAAAUAAACUCUUGAUUAUUGUGGAACUCUUCGAUUAUUGAAGUCAGUUACUGAAAUAACCAAUCAUAUAACACCCAAUCUUGACGAAAAGAAACUCUUCGGUUACUGAGUUACAUGAUGUCGUUUGGAAGAGACUCUUCGAUUCCUGAGAUAUAUGUUUGAACAAAAAAAAAAAAAUCACCCAUUACUCGUAGGAGAGUCGAACCCGGGUCGAUCAAAUGUUUCGGUAUCAUAGGUUUCGUGGUUUAGCCGCUAGGCUGAGGAGAAUCAUCUGUUAGUUGCUUCCACAUAAUUGAAUUUACCCAUACAAUUUAUAGUAUAAUACAUUGGAAAGAUCUUUGAUAGUUCAGGAUGGGCUUCCGAUUGCGACAAAUGUGAUUCCUGAGAUAUAUGUUUGAACAAAAAAAAAAAAUCACCCAUUACUCGUAGGAGAGUCGAACCCGGGUCGAUCAAAUGUUUCGGUAUCAUAGGUUUCGUGGUUUAGCCGCUAGGCUGAGGAGAAUCAUCUGUUAGUUGCUUCCACAUAAUUGAAUUUACCCAUACAAUUUAUAGUAUAAAUACAUUGGAAAGAUCUUUGAUAGUUCAGGAUGGGCUUCCGAUUGCGACAAAUGUGAUUCCUGAGAUAUAUGUUUGAACAAAAAAAAAAAAAAUCACCCAUUACUCGUAGGAGAGUCGAACCCGGGUCGAUCAAAUGUUUCGGUAUCAUAGGUUUCGUGGUUUAGCCGCUAGGCUGAGGAGAAUCAUCUGUUAGUUGCUUCCACAUAAUUGAAUUUACCCAUACAAUUUAUAGUAUAAUACAUUGGAAAGAUCUUUGAUAGUUCAGGAUGGGCUUCCGAUUGCGACAAAUGUGAUUCCUGAGAUAUAUGUUUGAACAAAAAAAAAAAAAUCACCCAUUACUCGUAGGAGAGUCGAACCCGGGUCGAUCAAAUGUUUCGGUAUCAUAGGUUUCGUGGUUUAGCCGCUAGGCUGAGGAGAAUCAUCUGUUAGUUGCUUCCACAUAAUUGAAUUUACCCAUACAAUUUAUAGUAUAAAUACAUUGGAAAGAUCUUUGAUAGUUCAGGAUGGGCUUCCGAUUGCGACAAAUGUGAUUCCUGAGAUAUAUGUUUGAACAAAAAAAAAAAAUCACCCAUUACUCGUAGGAGAGUCGAACCCGGGUCGAUCAAAUGUUUCGGUAUCAUAGGUUUCGUGGUUUAGCCGCUAGGCUGAGGAGAAUCAUCUGUUAGUUGCUUCCACAUAAUUGAAUUUACCCAUACAAUUUAUAGUAUAAAUACAUUGUAUAUUACAAAAGUUGGAUGUUACAAAAGUUGGAUGGGAUUCCAGAAUAGUUGAAUAUUACUGUGUUUUUUUCUAGCAAAGAAGUUUAAACUAAAAAUUGAAAUGAGAUCAAAAGAUAAUGUUGUAUAUUACAAAAGUUGUAAGAAAUCAUACUUAUUCAGGAUAGGGUUCCAAAAGAAAAAAUGUAUAUGGUCUUGUGCAUAUCAUGUAACCAUCAAAUAGCCAAACAUCCAAAUAAUAAUCGAUAAAAAUGUAAAAAUGUAGAACUUCAUCCUAUAGGCCUCUGGCAUGUGAUCUUGUUGUGCCCUCCUGUGCCACAUCUGCUGCACUUGUGGGACUGAGAUUUAGAUCCAGGAACCCCAAACUCGCCAACGGAUCUCUUUCUCUUUGUAGGAGGGCGUCCACUUUUCUUUUUGGUAGCUGGAGGUGGGCAAGACAGUUCAUCAAUAUUCUCUGGAUAGGUGGACGUUGACAACUCUCCACCAGGAUGUAUGCUUUCAGCAUAAGCUUUAGCCCACGUUUCUGUCAAGUGAGAAGCAUCAACAAAACGGUUUUCAUCUCUCUUGAUAUGCUUAGCAGCAGCGAUGGCAUGGAUGCAGGGGAUCUUGUCAAUGUCGAAAACAUUACAUGUGCAAUGCCGCUUCUCCAAGUCAACAACAAACUUCAUUGUUUCAUUC
Molecule: long non-coding RNA, 2380 nt
Filed under: Brassica rapa (field mustard)
Lineage: Eukaryota; Viridiplantae; Streptophyta; Magnoliopsida; Brassicales; Brassicaceae
Description: long non-coding RNA (BRAP_LNC006051)
Source: RNAcentral